This is a long non-coding RNA of Rhipicephalus sanguineus (brown dog tick), 884 nucleotides long. RefSeq lists it as uncharacterized. The transcript is spliced from 3 exons. The record is from RefSeq and is a predicted model, not a curated record. Lineage: Eukaryota; Metazoa; Arthropoda; Arachnida; Ixodida; Ixodidae.
UCAAGUUCCAGUGAUCGCCGCAGAGGGCGAAAAAAUCAACCGCGGCGAGUUCCAUCGAUAUGCGCGGAGAGUGGAGCUACUAACUCCUCUUUUAGCGGUCGGAUAAGUUAGUUCGCAUUUUCCGUGUUAGGGGCGCUCAACGCAGCCAAAAAUUUUAUUUCAGAAUGUAUCAGAAGAUUGUUAAAAUCUUAGUUACCGUGUCAUUUUGCAUACAGCUAGUAGGGACCAGUUUUUGUGUUACUUCUAGAGUUAAUACAAGAGCUUGAUUGUUUGAGGACAAGUAUUGAGAUUACAUUGACGCUCGAAAAGCAGCAGCCCAUUGGCAUCGAUUGCGCUUCGGUCGGUUAUUUCAUUCAAAUUGUACCGCGGUCGUUUUCUUUGAUCGGCGUUACGCAGCUCCGUUUUAAAUCAGUUUUGAUAUAGCAAUGCGAGUUUGUGCGCCAAAUUUUACAUGCUGCUGCCACAAAGCGAACGUGUCUAAAGCCUGUGAAUCACGUCAGCUGCGGCGCUUCACCGGCUGCCAGCGUGAAAAUUCAAUGCCAGCAAGGAGCUUGGAGACUACCUACGAAAACGGAAUAACCAUGCACCAUGUGGGUGUGCGCACCGCCUCCAAGAAACUGCUCAUAUCAGCACCCGCUCGGAUGCUUUAUCUCUGAACCUACCUCAAGUCAGCAGAGGAUGUUCCACUACAGAAAGUAAAUUCGUCGUCCCAAAUCCUCACAAGGAAACUGGACAAAAGAGAGAUCAUUGGUUUCCAAGCUACCCACACCAAGUCGUAAGAAGCUCAAGAGUCGCCUAUCCACCACCAAAGUUUACCAGGCGGACAAAUGCAAGCCUUAUACUGAAAAGCAGUGAUAGUGUACGGCAUGUUGAAGCAGUACGAA